AUUGAACGCUGGCGGCAGGCCUAACACAUGCAAGUCGAACGGUAACAAGAAGCAGCUUGCUGCUUCGCUGACGAGUGGCGGACGGGUGAGUAAUGUCUGGGAAACUGCCUGGUGGAGGGGGAUAACUACUGGAAACGGUAGCUAAUGCCGCAUAACGUCGCAAGACCAAAGAGGGGGACCUUAGGGCCUCUUGCCAUCGGAUGUGCCCAGAUGGGAUUAGCUAGUAGGUGGGGUAACGGCUCACCUAGGCGACGAUCCCUAGCUGGUCUGAGAGGAUGACCAGCCACACUGGAACUGAGACACGGUCCAGACUCCUACGGGAGGCAGCAGUGGGGAAUAUUGCACAAUGGGCGCAAGCCUGAUGCAGCCAUGCCGCGUGUAUGAAGAAGGCCUUCGGGUUGUAAAGUACUUUCAGCGGGGAGGAAGGGAGUAAAGUUAAUACCUCUGCUCAUUGACGUUACCCGCAGAAGAAGCGCCGGCUAACUCCGUG
RNAcentral lists this ribosomal RNA (490 nucleotides) under uncultured bacterium. RNAcentral describes it as "partial 16S ribosomal RNA". It matches the Rfam family "Bacterial small subunit ribosomal RNA", at positions 30 to 507 of the family's 1533-position model. The record is from RNAcentral.